GACGAACCGUGCGAACGUUGUUCGGAAUCACUGGGCUUAAAGGGCGCGUAGGCGGCAGUUCAAGUCCGGGGUGAAAUCCUCCAGCUCAACUGGAGAAGUGCCUUGGAUACUGGAUUGCUCGAGGGAGGUAGGGGUCGAGGGAACUUCUGGUGGAGCGGUGAAAUGCGUUGAUAUCAGAAGGAACGCCGGUGGCGAAAGCGCUCGACUGGACCUCUUCUGACGCUGAGGCGCGAAAGCUAGGGGAGCAAACGGG
RNAcentral lists this ribosomal RNA (253 nucleotides) under uncultured bacterium. RNAcentral's name for it is "partial 16S ribosomal RNA". It matches the Rfam family "Bacterial small subunit ribosomal RNA", at positions 524 to 776 of the family's 1533-position model. RNAcentral also lists the same sequence under 1 other name. The record is from RNAcentral.